Molecule: long non-coding RNA, 1161 nt
Organism: Salvelinus fontinalis (brook trout)
Lineage: Eukaryota; Metazoa; Chordata; Actinopteri; Salmoniformes; Salmonidae
Exons: 2
Source: RefSeq, a predicted model, not a curated record
ACAGUUAUACACUCACACUUUACAGUUAUACACUUUACAGUUAUACACUCACACUUUAGUUAUACACUUUACAGUUAUACACUUUACAGUUAACACUCACACUUUACAGUUAACACUCAUAGUUAACACUCAAACAUCAAAACAUCAAUAUACACACAUAGUGCCAAAUGUUAUCUAAAUGUGUGGCUCUGUAUACGCUCAGAGCCACAUGUUAUCUAAAUGUAUGGCUCUGUUGUAUCAAGGGCACUGUAGUUUCCUAAUGUCCCUGGGCCUAUACGGCUGUAUAUGGGGCUAAAUAUAGGGGCUGUAUGUGGCUAAAACUGGAAACCCCUAACUGGAAAUGAUCACAUCUGGAAUGCUAUAGGUUUACUCUCUGCCUUAAAUGAACGUUUCUCAUCUGUCUGAACUCUUAAACAUCUCAGAGACAGAACGUUUCUCAUCUGUCUACAAACUCUUAAAACUGGCUAGAACCAUAGUUUAGAACUGUUUAGAACUGGCUAGAACUAUAGUUUAGAACGGGUUAGAACUGGCUAGAACUACGGAAACAUAUUUGAGAACUGGUUAGAACUGGCUAGAACCAUAGUUUAGAACUGGUUAGAACUGGCUAGAACCAUGGAACCAGAGUUUAGAACUGGUUAGAACUGGCUAGAACCAUGGAACCAGAGUUUAGAACUGGUUAGAACUGGCUAGAACCAUGGAACCAGAGUUUAGAACUGGCUAGAACCAUGGAACCAUGCCUGUCUGUCUGGUCUGGAUUCUAACACGCUACAGGGACCUCAAUGUACCCUGACUAGAACACACAGCUAUGAUGCAACACAGAGGUUGAUACUAAUAAGGAUUCUAGAGAAAACGUGAUGAUCUGAACCGUGUGUGUGUCUGUGAUGUAAUACACGUCUUCGUGAUGACGAAGAGCACAACUCUUUGUAUUGAUGAAACACUCGCCUGUCUGAACCUCUGACUAGUCUAAUAUCGUGGCGCUGCUAUUGGCCCGUGAGCACAAAGGGGGGGAAAUCCGAUUGGUUGUGGCGGUGCCUUGCUUGGUUUACUAUGUAACUCUGUUUCUUGGCAAAUUUAAUGAAACCUGUUUGUUUUUUUAUUUUUCAUAAUGUGGCAUAUUUGUAUUUCAAACUUAAAGCCCAAUAAAACUUCACAGUGUAAAAA